CGGACGGGUGAGUAACGCGUGAGUAUCUACCCAUUGGUGUGGAAUACCCAUCCGAAAGGAUGGUUAAUACCGCAUAAGAUCUACGGAUGAAAGGGCUUAACUGCCCGCCGAUGGAGGAGCUUGCGUACCAUCAGUUUGUUGGUGGGGUAACGGCCUACCAAGACAACGACGGUUAGGGGAUGUGAGAGCAUGACCCCCCAGAAUGGCACUGAGAUACGGGCCAUACACCUACGGGUGGCAGCAACUAGGAAUAGUGCGCAAUGGACGAAAGUCUGACGCCGCGACGCCGCGUGAGGGAUGAAGGCCUUAGGGUUGUAAACCUCUUUUGCCAAAUCGGAGACGGUUUGGAGAAUAAGCACUCGCUAACUACGUGCCAGCAGCUGCGGUGAUACGUAGAGUGCAAGCGUUACCCGGAUUUAUUGGGCGUAAAGCGUUUCGUAGGCUUUUUGGAAAGUUAUGCUUCAAAGACCGAGGCUCAACCUCGGGAAGGGGCGUAAUACUAUCAGAAUAGAAGAAUUUAGGGGUUACUGGAACUUGCGGUGUAGGAGUGAAAUCCGUUGAUAUCGCAAGGAACGCCAAGGGCGAAGGCAAGUAACUGGGAAUUUCUUGACGCUGAGGAACGACAGCUAGGGUAGCGAAAGGGAUUAGAUACCCCUGUAGUC
This 662-nucleotide ribosomal RNA is filed under the name uncultured organism. Its description in RNAcentral is "bacterial SSU rRNA". It matches the Rfam family "Bacterial small subunit ribosomal RNA", at positions 99 to 795 of the family's 1533-position model. The record is from RNAcentral.